Molecule: transfer RNA, 36 nt
Filed under: Carex echinochloe
Lineage: Eukaryota; Viridiplantae; Streptophyta; Magnoliopsida; Poales; Cyperaceae
Description: partial tRNA-Phe
Source: RNAcentral
GUCGGGUAGCUCAGUCGGUAGAGCAGAGGACUGAAU